GGGCGUAUAGCUCAGUUGGUUAGAGUACGUCGUUCACACCGACGGGGUCCACGGUUCGAGUCCGUGUACGCCCA
This 74-nucleotide transfer RNA is filed under the name Ilumatobacteraceae bacterium. RNAcentral describes it as "tRNA-Val". It matches the Rfam family "tRNA". Rfam says of the family: Transfer RNA (tRNA) molecules are approximately 80 nucleotides in length. Their secondary structure includes four short double-helical elements and three loops (D, anti-codon, and T loops). Further hydrogen bonds mediate the characteristic L-shaped molecular structure. tRNAs have two regions of fundamental functional importance: the anti-codon, which is responsible for specific mRNA codon recognition, and the 3' end, to which the tRNAs corresponding amino acid is attached (by aminoacyl-tRNA synthetases). tRNAs cope with the degeneracy of the genetic code in two manners: having more than one tRNA (with a specific anti-codon) for a particular amino acid; and 'wobble' base-pairing, i.e. permitting non-standard base-pairing at the 3rd anti-codon position. The record is from RNAcentral. Lineage: Bacteria; Bacillati; Actinomycetota; Acidimicrobiia; Acidimicrobiales; Ilumatobacteraceae. RNAcentral also lists the same sequence under 1 other name.